AGCGAACGCUGGCGGCAGGCCUAACACAUGCAAGUCGAACGAACUCUUCGGAGUUAGUGGCGGACGGGUGAGUAACACGUGGGAACGUGCCUUUUGGUUCGGAAUAACUCAGGGAAACUUGUGCUAAUACCGAAUGUGCCCUUCGGGGGAAAGAUUUAUCGCCAUUAGAGCGGCCCGCGUCUGAUUAGCUAGUUGGUGAGGUAACGGCUCACCAAGGCGACGAUCAGUAGCUGGUCUGAGAGGAUGACCAGCCACACUGGGACUGAGACACGGCCCAGACUCCUACGGGAGGCAGCAGUGGGGAAUCUUGCGCAAUGGGCGAAAGCCUGACGCAGCCAUGCCGCGUGAAUGAUGAAGGUCUUAGGAGUGUAAAAUUCUUUCACCGGGGACGAUAAUGACGGUACCCGGAGAAGAAGCCCCGGCUAACUUCGUG
Molecule: ribosomal RNA, 433 nt
Filed under: uncultured bacterium
Lineage: Bacteria
Description: partial 16S ribosomal RNA
Rfam family: Bacterial small subunit ribosomal RNA
Source: RNAcentral